Molecule: ribosomal RNA, 432 nt
Filed under: uncultured bacterium
Lineage: Bacteria
Description: partial 16S ribosomal RNA
Rfam family: Bacterial small subunit ribosomal RNA
Source: RNAcentral
AACGAACGCUGGCGGCAGGCCUAACACAUGCAAGUCGAGCGAGGACUUCGGUUCUAGCGGCGGACGGGUGAGUAACGCGUGGGAAUGUGCCCUUCUCUACGGAAUAGCCCUGGGAAACUGGUAGUAAUACCGUAUACGCCCUAUUGGGGAAAGAUUUAUCGGAGAAGGAUCAGCCCGCGUUGGAUUAGGUAGUUGGUGGGGUAAUGGCCUACCAAGCCGACGAUCCAUAGCUGGUUUGAGAGGAUGAUCAGCCACACUGGGACUGAGACACGGCCCAGACUCCUACGGGAGGCAGCAGUGGGGAAUCUUAGACAAUGGGGGCAACCCUGAUCUAGCCAUGCCGCGUGAGUGAUGAAGGCCUUAGGGUUGUAAAGCUCUUUCAGCUGGGAAGAUAAUGACGGUACCAGCAGAAGAAGCCCCGGCUAACUCCGU